CAUGCAAGGCCAGUAUGAGUGUAACCUGGAGAACACUGUAAAGCAUGUGAAAGCCUUGUGCAACUUGGUUAUUUUGAACAUGAUCAUCAAGGUAUAAAAGCGUGUGUAUUUUUCAUGUCAGGGAGUUGCUGCAAUGUGUCUGAAGCAACUCCCUGGCUGCCGCUAAUAAAUCAUAUUACUGAAAAAAAUAAUAACUUGGCGCUUGAUGCUGCACAGCUAAGGAAGGCAGGAAGGCACUGAGGAAUCUAGCACACACUUUGGAAGUGAUUCAGGGAUCCCGCGGAGGCGAGCGUACAGGUACAGGUGCUCCCUCCCCGUCAGCAGCUCGUCUAUGGCGUCAAACUGAGGGCAGUAGCCCAUAUUCUGGUGCACAUCCAGGAUAUUGCUACUGACGCCUCCCCUGAUGUCACAUCCGUGUCUCCAGUCAGCAUUUUAAAGGUUGUGGUUUUACCUGCACCAUUUACACCAAGAAGCCCAAAGCACUGCAGAAAACAUUUAAGUUGAUUCCCAC
Long non-coding RNA from Cyprinus carpio (common carp), 511 nucleotides. RefSeq lists it as uncharacterized. The record is from RefSeq and is a predicted model, not a curated record. The transcript has 3 exons. NCBI's taxonomy places the organism in Eukaryota, Metazoa, Chordata, Actinopteri, Cypriniformes, Cyprinidae.